CCAAUUUCACACCAUUGGGAAAACCACCAAUAGCCCCCAAUCAUCCUGAACCCUUAGGCGGGCUUCAGUUCCUGCCACGCCGAGCAUUUACACUUUCGUACGGAUAAAUAUGUUGAAUCCGAACGGUGUCGCCCUGGGGCCUGGGGUUGCAUUCCCAUUCACAGAGACUAUCCAUGAGGGAGCUGAUUCGUUGGAUGCAAAGAAUUAACUGGAGCAUUAGGCGAUCUGGGAGACAGAAGGUAGAUAAAAGCAGACAGGCCUCCCUUCAGAAUGCGGGUAUUGCAUACAUGACGAAUGUACACAUUUUCCAAAAAAAAACACCUUCAAUACACAAAUCCAUGCGUAUGUUUUUUCCAGCCAUACACAAACCGUGUUGGAAUAUACAAUUGUUUGGCUUUCUUUAAAAUUUAAAAAAUUCAAUAAAUUAAUGAAUAAUAAUGAGAGCUAUGGCUACCCUAGAGACUA
Molecule: long non-coding RNA, 465 nt
Organism: Drosophila pseudoobscura
Lineage: Eukaryota; Metazoa; Arthropoda; Insecta; Diptera; Drosophilidae
Exons: 2
Source: RefSeq, a predicted model, not a curated record